Electrophorus electricus (electric eel) is the source of this 663-nucleotide long non-coding RNA. NCBI's taxonomy places the organism in Eukaryota, Metazoa, Chordata, Actinopteri, Gymnotiformes, Gymnotidae. The record is from Ensembl.
AAAAUGCGUGCGGGUCACGAGCUUUAGUAAGGCCUGGGUUUGGGCUUUCCAGAGAAGCCUGUGGUGCUGCUGGAGCCCCUGGAUGUUUCCGUCAGGUUGGGCGAGUCAGCGCAGUUCUUCUGCCAGGCUCAGGGAGACCCUGUGCCCACCAUGGAGUGGAGCCGAGCGCAGGGGCCGCUGCCCAACGGCAGGUAUUUGGUUAAUCCAGACCACAGUCUUCAGAUCCACUAUGUGACGUUUCAGGACGCAGGCAGGUACACCUGCACUGCGGCCAAUGCCGUAGGUGUUGCGACAGCCAGUGCUCAGCUGUUUGUGGAAGAUGGAACCAGCAGCAGCCAGAGGGACCUGCAUAGGGAGUUGUCUGCUCUGCGCAUCACCCUGGAGAACGUCACUGUUCUGAGAACUGCCACCAACCUGUCCCAAGUCAUAUGGAAGCUUCAGUCUUCGUCCCCCCAGCUGCACUACCUGGAGGGGUUCGAGGUGCUCUACCGUUCCCUGCUGCCUGCCAGUUCAGACUGGGCUGCUCACAAAGUGACCGGGCCCGCCCUGCAGGCCAGCGUUGGACCCCUGAAGAGGGGCUACAUGUAUGAGUUUAAAGUGCGGCCCUACGGGAGUGAUCUGUACGGCAGAGAGAGCAACACUCGGCACCUGAGAGUGCCAGAG